This 366-nucleotide long non-coding RNA is filed under the name Ananas comosus (pineapple). Its description in RNAcentral is "long non-coding RNA (ACOM_LNC024112)". The record is from RNAcentral. Lineage: Eukaryota; Viridiplantae; Streptophyta; Magnoliopsida; Poales; Bromeliaceae.
GAAGUCGUUGAUGAUGGAAUGGAUGAUCUACAUUGUUGCGACCAUCUCCAGCAUGUUUGGUUUGAUACUUUCGAAAGAAGAGGGGAGGGGGAUCUUUGAUUCCCUGUUUCUUCGGACCCUUCAACAUUUCUUCGAUAAAUAUCGAACCAAAUUUGCCGGCCGAACAGAUCCAUGCCACUGUUAACAACUCCGUCGACGACAUCUACAAUCGCCGUUUUGAUCUUUUCGAAAGAAAAGGGGAGGGGAAUCUUUGAUUCCCCGUUUCUUCGGACCCUUCAAUAUUUCUUCGAAAAUGUCAAAUCAAAUUUGCCGGCCGAAUAGAACCGUGCCAUCGUCAACAACUUCGCCGACGACAUCUACAGCAUC